GGCAGUUCUUGGAUGAUGCACCCCGGAAUUGGGCUCCCUCCUCUCUGGUUCUGGGGUGCAUCACUCAAGAACUGCU
Non-coding RNA from Myotis lucifugus (little brown bat), 76 nucleotides. The record is from Rfam. NCBI's taxonomy places the organism in Eukaryota, Metazoa, Chordata, Mammalia, Chiroptera, Vespertilionidae.